RNAcentral lists this ribosomal RNA (235 nucleotides) under uncultured bacterium. RNAcentral's name for it is "partial 16S ribosomal RNA". It matches the Rfam family "Bacterial small subunit ribosomal RNA", at positions 99 to 334 of the family's 1533-position model. The record is from RNAcentral.
CGAACGGGUGAGUAACACGUGGGUGACCUGCCCUCAGCUCUGGGAUAAGCCUGGGAAACUGGGUCUAAUACCGGAUAUUCACGCACCUCUGCAUGGGGGUGUGUGGAAAGUUUUUUCGGCUGGGGAUGGGCCCGCGGCCUAUCAGCCUGUUGGUGGGGUGAUGGCCUACCAAGGCGACGACGGGUAGCCGGCCUGAGAGGGCGACCGGCCACACUGGGACUGAGACACGGCCCAG